AACGAACGUUAGCGGCGCGCCUAACACAUGCAAGUCGAGCGAGAAUGGGCUUCGGCCCUAGUACAGCGGCGCACGGGUGAAUAACACGUAGGCAACCUACCCUCGAGUGGUGGAUAACCCUCCGAAAGGAGGGCUAAUACAGCAUCAGACCACGUCUCCUUCGGGAGGCGUGGCCAAAGCAGGCCUCUUCAUGAAAGCUUGCGCUCGAGGAUGGGCCUGCGGCCCAUCAGCUAGUUGGCGGGGUAACGGCCCACCAAGGCAAAGACGGGUAGCUGGUCUGAGAGGAUGAACGGCCACACUGGAACUGAAACACGGUCCAGACUCCUACGGGAGGCAGCAGUGGGGAAUCUUGCGCAAUGGGCGAAAGCCUGACGCAGCGACGCCGCGUGAGCGAUGAAGGCCUUCGGGUUGUAAAGCUCUGUGGGGAGGGAAGAAUCAGGUAGGGCUAACACUCCUAUCGACGACGGUACCUCCUUAGCAAGCACCGGCUAACUCUGUGCCAGCAGCCGCGGUAA
RNAcentral lists this ribosomal RNA (515 nucleotides) under uncultured bacterium. Its description in RNAcentral is "partial 16S ribosomal RNA". It matches the Rfam family "Bacterial small subunit ribosomal RNA", at positions 29 to 523 of the family's 1533-position model. The record is from RNAcentral.